AAGGACCUAAGGACCUAGAGUUGUUAUGAAGAGUAAAGGGGCUGAUUUGUGUAAAAUGGCUUAGAACAGUGACUAGAGAAUCUGAAGCGCUGUUAGUUAUUGCUAAUGACUUUUUUCCUUUACCUUUCAAGCCAUUAAUAGCUGACAACCCCUGGAAUUGAUGGACCUAAUGCCCUCCUCUAGAUAAGGUCUUGCUGAGUUGCCCAGGCUGGCCUUAAACUCUCAAUCCUCCUGCCUCAGUUUCCUGAGUAGUUGGAGUUACAGGAAUAAAGACAUGCAGCUGUUGAGCUCUGGAGCUGCAGCUCCAACUCUCAUGCUCUGAUGCUGCCCUGAUGCUGAUGAUUGUCUCUGCAUCUUUUCUUUAUUGGGGAAUUAACUCACUCAUGAAGG
Molecule: long non-coding RNA, 390 nt
Filed under: Heterocephalus glaber (naked mole-rat)
Lineage: Eukaryota; Metazoa; Chordata; Mammalia; Rodentia; Bathyergidae
Description: lncRNA (ENSHGLG00000038758.1)
Source: RNAcentral